RNAcentral lists this small nuclear RNA (109 nucleotides) under Microcebus murinus (gray mouse lemur). The record is from RNAcentral. Lineage: Eukaryota; Metazoa; Chordata; Mammalia; Primates; Cheirogaleidae.
GUGCUCACUUCGGCAGCACAUAUACUAAAAUUGGGAUGAUACAGAGAAGAUUAGUGUGGCCCCUGUAAUAAAAAUAAGAUUUAAAUAAAUAAAUAAAUAAAACACAUUG